GUCGAGCGGAUGAAAGGAGCUUGCUCCUGGAUUCAGCGGCGGACGGGUGAGUAAUGCCUAGGAAUCUGCCUGGUAGUGGGGGACAACGUUUCGAAAGGAACGCUAAUACCGCAUACGUCCUACGGGAGAAAGCAGGGGACCUUCGGGCCUUGCGCUAUCAGAUGAGCCUAGUGUCGGAUUAGCUAGUUGGUGAGGUAAUGGCUCACCAAGGCGACGAUCCGUAACUGGUCUGAGAGGAUGAUCAGUCACACUGGAACUGAGACACGGUCCAGACUCCUACGGGAGGCAGCCAGUUGGGGAACUAUUGGACAAUGGGCGAAAGCCUGAUCCAGCCAUGCCGCGUGUGUGAAGAAGGUCUUCGGAUUGUAAAGCACUUUAAGUUGGGAGGAACGGGUUGAGAGUUAAUACUCUGCAAUUAUUUGACGUUACCGACAGAAUAAGCACCGGUAAUCUGUGCCAGCAGCGGGUAAUACAGAGGGUGCAA
Molecule: ribosomal RNA, 484 nt
Filed under: bacterium D05
Lineage: Bacteria
Description: bacterial SSU rRNA
Rfam family: Bacterial small subunit ribosomal RNA
Source: RNAcentral